UACGUAGGGUGCAAGCGUUUGUCCGGAAUUAUUGGGCGUAAAGAGCUCGUAGGCGGUUUGUCGCGUCUGCCGUGAAAAUUCGAGGCUCAACCUCGAACUUGCGGUGGGUACGGGCAGACUAGAGUGUGGUAGGGGAGACUGGAAUUCCUGGUGUAGCGAUGAAAUGCGCAGAUAUCAGGAGGAACACCGAUGGCGAAGGCAGGUCUCUGGGCCACUACUGACGCUGAGAAGCGAAAAGCAUGGGGGAGCGAACAGG
Molecule: ribosomal RNA, 256 nt
Filed under: uncultured bacterium
Lineage: Bacteria
Description: partial 16S ribosomal RNA
Rfam family: Bacterial small subunit ribosomal RNA
Source: RNAcentral